Beta vulgaris subsp. vulgaris (sugar beet) is the source of this 1782-nucleotide long non-coding RNA. RefSeq lists it as uncharacterized. The transcript is spliced from 3 exons. The record is from RefSeq and is a predicted model, not a curated record. Lineage: Eukaryota; Viridiplantae; Streptophyta; Magnoliopsida; Caryophyllales; Amaranthaceae.
CAUUGGAGUUGCUCUUAAUAAGCUCCAUCAAGAAUAGCCAAACAUACAUGUUUUGAAUUUUGAAGCUGCUAAAUAUGUUGCCAUAUUGGGGGUUUUCCACUUACAAAUUGAUUUUAGUUGUACGAUAAAUCUCUAAAUCCUGCACUAUAUUCUGUUCUUUACAUAGUAGCUAGAUUACCCUGAGUCCUGCCUUCGAACUAAACCUACUCCGCCUUCACCAUAUCUUCGUGCGCUCGUUGGGUCAACAAUAUUGAUUAUGCCGAUUAACUGUUCGACGGUUUGCCUUUGAAGUGAUUUACAUGUUUGCACGUCUGGAGGAAGAUAUCAGAGUAAGCACUAAGCUCGUCUAAUUCGUGGGCAGCAUAUCAUGUCCAGCGAAGGAGUCAAUCCGGCUUGAAUGAGGAAACAAAUGUGACAUAAUAUUAUAUUAGCACUUUUUAUGUAUGUGUCAAUGCUGAAAGAUUAAUGUUGCAUUCUCCUACUAGUCUUUUCCCAGGGUCCUUUUCAUCAUCAAACCCCUCCCUUAUUAGGUAAUCUGAAGAACCUUUUGGCCGAGACGUGUGAUCAUCACUCAUCAGUCCACUGCCGUUUGUGGUAUCUAAUUAUUUUUUUGUCAACUCUCUUUGCUGAAGGUACUUUCAUCAGUAAUUUUUUGUGAUCCAGGAAAUUAUACUUGCUUCUCGAACAUUCCUAAAUGGCUAAUAUAGGUAUCCAAAGGUAGUUUCAGAUGCAUCCUGUAGAGUCGACUAUGUUUAGAAAUUGUAGCUUAUAUCUUCAAGACCAAUCUAAGACCACUAAUAAUAUUUAUUGAUGUAUCAUUAAAAAUCAUAGAAAUGAUUAUGAAACUAAACAUCGAGAGAUAUUUUAUAAGAUUUCACAUUAUACUCUUUUUUUUCAUCUGCUAGUGACAAUAAAAUGUCAUAAUUUAUAAAAUUUGACCCUUAAGAAAUAGACAUAACAUGAAAUUAGGAUGAGUAUUAUUACUCAACAUUCAACAAUUAUUCCUUCUAUUCUCAAGAUGAUGUCUCACUUUUCCGUACAUGUCACUCAUGUCUUUUUUUGAUCCAUAUGAGUUACGAAGGCAGUACAAAGUACAAAUAAGGAGAGGGAGGUUUGAACCUGUAACUUAUCGUUCACUGCACCUCAAUUUUAACCAUUAGGCCAAGACAUCGUUGGUAUUUCAAUCAUGUCUUUGAACAAUAGGUUUUGUGUGAGAUGCGUCACUAAAUUUGAUGAAUAUUUGCAAUUUUAUCUAGUACAAGCUAUUUUGUGUCAUUUUAGCAUGGACUUAUGCUAGUUUUCAAAUAUUUGAUGUCAUUACUCAAUUUAACAUGAACAUAUAUCCUUUUUUUAUAAGUUAUUAAUUAUUAAGCAUAUGCUUUGUAAGUUCCUAGUUGUUUAGCUACUUUUAUUUUUCUUGGUAAGCAAGAUAGGAUUAUAGUACACAUCAAAACAAGUUUUUAAGACUUAAAGAUAUCUAAACUUGGAACCUUCUAGAAAGGUCUUAACCUAGAGGGACUCAACAAUCCCUAUUAUAACCGAAGAGAUCAUUACAAACGAAUUUGAAUCAUUUCCUAUCUCGGGAGUUGUUUUUUCAGGGUAUAUUCUAUCCUAUUUUGUACUGUAUAUUCUAUGGUAUUCUCUACAUCUGUAACUUGAAAACUAAAAAGCGCAUUAUCUAUUUCAUUCCAUAUGUUGUAGAUAACACUGAAGAUUAGGGGUAAAUGUUAUUCGGAUUCGAACCAAAAUUCAAUCUAAUUCAAUCCAAAUCGAAUUAGUAGC